Molecule: ribosomal RNA, 492 nt
Filed under: uncultured bacterium
Lineage: Bacteria
Description: partial 16S ribosomal RNA
Rfam family: Bacterial small subunit ribosomal RNA
Source: RNAcentral
AGUGAACGCUGGCGGUAGGCCUAACACAUGCAAGUCGAACGGCAGCACACUAAGAGCUUGCUCUUACGGGUGGCGAGUGGCGGACGGGUGAGGAAUACAUCGGAAUCUACUUUUUCGUGGGGGAUAACGUAGGGAAACUUACGCUAAUACCGCAUACGACCUACGGGUGAAAGCAGGGGAUCUUCGGACCUUGCGCGAUUGAAUGAGCCGAUGUCGGAUUAGCUAGUUGGCGGGGUAAAGGCCCACCAAGGCGACGAUCCGUAGCUGGUCUGAGAGGAUGAUCAGCCACACUGGAACUGAGACACGGUCCAGACUCCUACGGGAGGCAGCAGUGGGGAAUAUUGGACGAUGGGCGCAAGCCUGAUCCAGCCAUACCGCGUGGGUGAAGAAGGCCUUCGGGUUGUAAAGCCCUUUUGUUGGGAAAGAAAAGCAGCAGGUUAAUACCCCGCUGUUCUGACGGUACCCAAAGAAUAAGCACCGGCUAACUUCGUG